AACGAACGCUGGCGGCGUGCUUAAUACAUGCAAGUCGAACGUGAAACGAGUAGCAAUACUUGUGGAAAGUGGCGAACGGGUGAGUAAUACGUAAGCAAUCUACCUUUAAGAUUGGGAUAACCUUGCCAACGCGGGGCUAAUACCGGAUGUGGUCAUUUUAACGCAUGUUAGAAUGAUUAAAGGAGUGAUCCGCUUAAGGAUGAGCUUGCGGCCCAUUAGUUAGUUGGCGGGGUAACGGCCCACCAAGACCGCGAUGGGUAGCCGGCCUGAGAGGGUGGACGGCCACAUUGGGACUGAGAUACGGCCCAGACUCCUACGGGAGGCAGCAGUAGGGAAUUUUGCGCAAUGGACGAAAGUCUGACGCAGCAACGCCGCGUGAGGGAUGACGGCCUUCGGGUUGUAAACCUCUGUUGGAUGGGAAAAAAAGUAGCAAUAUUUGAUGGUACCAUUCGAGUAAGCACCGGCUAACUACGUG
Molecule: ribosomal RNA, 475 nt
Filed under: uncultured organism
Description: bacterial SSU rRNA
Rfam family: Bacterial small subunit ribosomal RNA
Source: RNAcentral